RNAcentral lists this non-coding RNA (264 nucleotides) under Psychrobacillus sp. Its description in RNAcentral is "T-box sequence". It matches the Rfam family "T-box leader". From Rfam's summary of the family: Uncharged tRNA acts as the effector for transcription antitermination of genes in the T-box leader family. T-boxes are found upstream of many aminoacyl-tRNA synthetase genes and some amino acid biosynthetic genes usually in Gram-positive bacteria. Lineage: Bacteria; Bacillati; Bacillota; Bacilli; Caryophanales; Bacillaceae. The record is from RNAcentral.
UUAUAUGCGAUGAAGAGAAGAGUAGAUCGAUCAAUUCUUUUGAAGAGAGCUCCGGGUGCUGAAAAGGAGUAAGAAUUAUUUAUUGAACCAAGUCUCGGAGCAUCACAAAGGACCCUGCUAAUAGGAGAUGGUGUGACGGGAGCUCCCGUUAUCGGGCUCAGGUAUUCGCAAAUCGUAGUUUAUUUGCCGUACCGAUUAAGAUUAAUAUGGUGACAUAUUAAUAAACUAGGGUGGUACCACGACUUUCUAAAUCUCGUCCCUAAG